AACCUCCUAGAGAAAGAGAGAGAAGAGAGUAGAGAGAAAAAAACCAAGAUUUGACCAAAAUCGGAGCCCCGAAUUCCGAAGCUCGUGAAGAGAAAAGUGUUGUACGUUGCAUUGCCUUCAUUUUGAGCCAAAAAUCAGCUAAGAAGGAGAGUGGUGACUUGGUUGCUGCAUACUUAAGGUAUAUAUGCUCUUGUACAAGCUAAGAGGAAUUAUUUGACGAAGUGGACUUUGAUUGGUCUAUGGCGUAGAUGAUUUGAACUCCUCGAGUUGUGGUAGAACUUGUUGUGUGGUAAAACGCCAAGGUAAUGCGCGAGAUGAGGUAUGAAGAUGACCAAUUGGAGUAGACUUUUUGGAAGCCCUUGUGAAGAUCACAUCUGCAUAUGCAUCUAGUUUUUGUAAAUUUUUGGGGGCUUGUACAUGAUACAUGUGUGGCACUUACGUAUGAAAUUUUGAAGGCUUGUGGAAAACAAGACCAUUUGCUUGUAACUUAAACUUGAUGACUGGUUUUGCUAUUUUAGGGUGUGUUUUUAACCCAAGUUAUGUCAUAUACUGAAUUUGUAUUUUGUCUUGUAAUUAUGCACAAAGGAUGAUAAUAGUUUUGUGAAAAUCACUAGUUUGAGUUUUGUGCAUAUUAUGGACCCGUAAUGGUGUUGAUUUGGAAAUAAAAUUUUAAAACGAAGCUUCUUAAAUGUGUUGACUAUUUGAGAAGGGAAUUACCAUUUUAAAAUGAUACUCUGCUAUUGUAUUUCAUCUAAGAAAUUUUUCGGGGAGCGCAAUGAAAAAUAAUAAAAAAAUAAUAAUAAAAAAAAAUGUCGUACUUUCAAAUAUUUUCG
Lycium barbarum (goji berry) is the source of this 833-nucleotide long non-coding RNA. RefSeq lists it as uncharacterized. Lineage: Eukaryota; Viridiplantae; Streptophyta; Magnoliopsida; Solanales; Solanaceae. The record is from RefSeq and is a predicted model, not a curated record. The transcript is spliced from 3 exons.